AUGGAGCUCAUGACGGCCAUCGCCUGCGGCUGGAUCGAGCGCCUCGUGGGGGCCGGGGGUGACGUCUCCGACGUCUCCGCGCUCCUGGGGGAGAUGGACUGCGUCGGCCUCCGCCCCGGGUUUAGCCUCGUCGAGAAGGCCGUCGCGCUCUACUGGGACCGCAGCGAGAGGGCGCGCGCUGUUGAGUUCGUCAGGGACGUGCUCAGGAGGGGGAGCGUGGCCGCGGGAGGGGAGUACGACGGCGAGCGUGGAGGCCCCGUCGGUUACCUCGCCUGGAAGAUUAUGAUGGACGGGGACUACAGAGAUGCUGUUAAAUUGGUCAUUGAAUUCAAAGAGAGUGGACUGAAACCUGAAGUCUAUAGUUAUCUUAUUGGGUUGACUGCCUUGGUUAAAGAGCAAAAGGAAUUCUCAAAGGCAUUGCGUAAAUUGAAUCUGUCAGUGAAGGAUGGCUCAAUUGCCAAACUGGAUACUGAGAGCAUGCACAACAUCGAGAAGUAUCAAUCCAAAUUAUUAGGGGAUGGUGUUCUUUUAUCAAAUUGGGCAGUUCAGGAAGGCAGCAGUGAGGUUCUAGGACUUGUGCAUGAGAGGCUCCUUUCAUUGUACACUUGUGCUGGUUGUGGCUUAGAAGCUGAGCGCCAACUUUGGGAAUUGAAGCUUGUUGGUAGGGAACCUGAUACACAGCUCUAUGAUGUUGUCUUGGCCAUUUGUGCUUCUCAAGGGGAAGCUGCUGCUGUUAGACGAUUGCUUGCAGGAGUCGAGUCAACCAGCGCAGGAAGAAGGAAGAAGUCUAUGUCAUGGCUCCUGCGAGGCUACCUUAAAGGUGGUUUCUAUCUGGAUGCCUCGGAAACACUUUUGCGGAUGCUUGAUAUGGGCUUAUCUCCUGAUUACCUGGACAGAGCGGCUGUACUGACUGCACUGCAGAGAAACAUACAGGAAUCCGGCAACCUAGAAUCAUACAUGAAACUCUGCAAGCGCCUAUCUGAGACAGAUCUGAUUGCACCGUGCGUCCUAUAUCUGUAUGUACGCAAAUUCAAGCUGUGGAUGAUGCGCAUGCUGUGA
RNAcentral lists this ribosomal RNA (1059 nucleotides) under Triticum aestivum (bread wheat). Its description in RNAcentral is "partial small subunit ribosomal RNA". The record is from RNAcentral. Lineage: Eukaryota; Viridiplantae; Streptophyta; Magnoliopsida; Poales; Poaceae.